CCCUUAGAUGCUCUGGGCCGCACGCGCGCUACACUGGUCGAUGCAACGAGUUUCUUUCCUUGGCCGACAGGCCUGGGCAAUCUUUGAACAUCGAUCGUGAUCGGGAUAGAUUCUUGUAAUUUUUGAUCUUAAACGAGGAAUUCCUAGUAAACGCAAGUCAUCAGCUUGCAUUGAUUACGUCCCUGCCCUUUGUACACACCGCCCGUCGCACCUACCGAUUGAAUGGUCCGGUGAAAUCUCCGGACUGGCGUGAGUCGGAGAAAUCUGACAAACACCGGAAAGUUGAUUAAACCUUACCAUUUAGAGGAAGGUGAAGUCGUAACA
This 324-nucleotide ribosomal RNA is filed under the name uncultured eukaryote. RNAcentral's name for it is "partial 18S ribosomal RNA". It matches the Rfam family "Eukaryotic small subunit ribosomal RNA", at positions 1470 to 1796 of the family's 1831-position model. The record is from RNAcentral.